UGUGAAUUGCUUUAUAUUUCUGAUGUUGACAGUAAAAUGUCACAAUUGUCAAUAUUGAUAUUUGCUGCAAAUGACAAUGUUUCACUCUGCCCAUAAUGCAAUCUGAUAACAAGUGACAUCGUUGGAUGAAAAACAGUGAAUUUGGGUGAAGAGACUUUAAAGAGGCUCAAAUCAGAGACUUCAUUAAUCAGAGUAUGCUAUAUAGGUACAUAAAGUGCUUAAUGAUUGUGGUUUCCCACCUAGCUAUCUUAAGAUGAAUGCACAGAGAUGCUCUGGAUAAGAGUGUCUGCUAAGUGACUCUAAUGUGAAUGAUAAAACAUGAGUAUUACUUGCUAUAAUAUUUCCUAUAUUAAGAGUGUAAAAUACUGUAGUUGUAUGUGAAGAUGUGUAAUGCUUUAUGAGUAUAGUAAAGUUGUACGACACUGUGGAGCUGUAUGAGUGGUUCUGUUAACACAGUGUGUGCUCACUCUUGUGUGAAGGAGGUUGUUGUAUGGCGUCUUAACUAGACUGUAUCACUGUGGUUCACAUUCGGUGAAGGGACCAAACUGCUGCUGAAAAGAGCCAGUGUCUGGGCUAGGACCUACUGGAGGAGGCCUACAACAGGAGCUCUGUCUGGGGAUGCAGGAGUAGACGAGGCUCUGGUCUGGUCUGGGGCCUGGUUGGAGCAGUAGUAGUGUGUUAGAGUGUUAGAGUAGUAUAUUGAGUAAACUCUAGUACUGUUGGGGAGACCACAGUCCUGGGUAGUAAUGUGUAUUUUAUAGAUUACAGGAGACUUCAAUGUGUUCUGUACUCAGACUGUUACUGUGAUGUUGCUGUCUGUCUCAGUUCUAAUAAAGUUGGAUUUGGAAAAUAACAU
Molecule: long non-coding RNA, 856 nt
Organism: Oncorhynchus kisutch (coho salmon)
Lineage: Eukaryota; Metazoa; Chordata; Actinopteri; Salmoniformes; Salmonidae
Exons: 2
Source: RefSeq, a predicted model, not a curated record